Tyto alba (common barn owl) is the source of this 2640-nucleotide long non-coding RNA. RefSeq lists it as uncharacterized. The record is from RefSeq and is a predicted model, not a curated record. Lineage: Eukaryota; Metazoa; Chordata; Aves; Strigiformes; Tytonidae. The transcript has 5 exons.
CCGCGGCGCCGCACGCUGAUUGGCUGAAACGCCUCCGCGCGCCAAGACGGGGCACAAAAGUCCUCAAGAAAAGACUCGGAGGAGGCCAGCUUGGAAAGGCCAAUUCAGUGCAAGUGUACAGUGGAUGCCACAAGCUGCCAGAUGAAGAAAAAGCAUGCUGGUCUGAUUCAUCAUCUGCAGGAUCUAGAAUCUGAUGAAAUAAUCUUUAUUGUCAAAGUUAUUCAGGUGCACCCAAAUGUUAUGUAUUCCAGGUGUGCCCAGGCACCUAGCCAGCUCGACCUGAAACAGAAGUGUUUUCUUCAAAGCAGCAGAUUUACACAGUAAGGUUCCUUUUACAGUGCAGGACAAAAAUAAAUUAUGAGUAGAAAUAAGUUAAAAUUGUUCUUCUAGAGCAAUUCUCCUGCAUCAAUGCUUAAUCCUUCCGUUAUGUGUGAUAUCAUUAAUCAUUCUACUGUAAUACUUGACACACACGUUUGUGGGACAAAAUCAGAUCUAGUAUAAAAGCUGCAAUAAUACUGACUUAUGUGGAACUGCAGCUAAUUAUAACAUAUUUGAAUUUUCAUCUGUCAUGAAUGACCUCUAUAAAAUGAACCACCUUUCACACCGUUGCAACAAGAUUGUCUGAGUGAGACCAGCAAGCACACAAGGGGAGAAGAAAGAAACAUUGUCGAAGGACCACAGGAGAAAUCUCAGGAUCGCAAUGAGCCAAUACCUGUGGAAAAAUACGCAGAACAGUUGGUGGAUUUUUUUCAAUUGUGGUUUUUUUCUCUCUAAGAGUCUCAUACGGCUUCUCCACCACAAACUGCAGUGCUCGGCUUAUUUAAGUUGGAAUGGUUUGGUUGCCUUGAUACAUGAGUGACCGAUCCUGCCAUCUUCGGAGACUAAAUGACACUCCUGUCUUCACGGGUGGACUAGAAGAGACAAAGAUGACAGGACACCUUCAGCCCGUUGUAGGAAGAUACUACGAUGCAAGACGGUAGUGAACUGAGCAAUGAUUGUCUCGCUUUUGAAGCAGGAUAUGCUGCGUUGCAGCCUCGCGGCAGGACUUCAGCUCUUACACGCUGGUGUCUGCAGGGGAGUACUAGGAGCAGGCUAGGUUACUGGAGGUGAGAAUGCAGCUGAGGCCGUAUCUUGUGCUUAUCUGUGAGAAUUCCCCAAAAGUUACCAGACUGAAAUUGGUUUUUUGAAGAACGAGGAUAACACUGUUGUAAUUGGGGCUGUCUCAGUAAAAAUACUCCCAAAGUGAUUCACGUCUCUGGUAUAUCAUACCUGCCUAUGGGGAUGCUGCUUUCUUUUGUGUUAACAGACAACGUCCUACCAUAAAGCAUUAUACCUGCCCAGGUUGAGGCAGAGGACCAGGUGUCUUCUGGUUGUGCUGUUGCUCUGACCUCUGAGACUGGCACCACAUGGCCAUGGAAAUUCUGACUCCCAGGAGGGCCCUCAUACUUUGCAUGCCUCUGUACUUAAGACAUUUGUGACUUGAUUGCAAGAGGUGCUCAGUAACCUGCAGCCAAUUACUUCAGUUUCUGCUGUGCCCCAAAAAUCAAGUUUUCACAUACCCCAACUUAACAAGACUUCUUUUUUUUUGGCAGCUGUUUUGCCAUCCUCAAAAUGCACAGGCUCACAGAGGGCUUGUGAACAUUAAUUAAUACUCACCAAACACUAUGUAAAUAUUAAGUAUUAAAAGUAUAUUAAUUUAUAUAGCACUUAAAUGCUAUAUAAAUUCAACCACGAAUGAAAACUCCUAUCUAAAGAUUUAUAAAGAGCUUGUACUUUUUGGCCUAGGGAGAAAGAAAAAUGCCUCCUAUCUUAAUAAAAGGGAAAAGCUUAACUCAGAAUGUCUUGUUCAUUACCCUUGUAUUCAUAUUGCACAACAAAAUAUUUACAUUAAAAUGUAUCUUUUCAAAAAGAACUUAACUCUGUUUUCCAACUGAAUUUGGCCAAGUUGAAAAUUAUAUAUGCCAGAGGACUGCAGUAAAAGAGAUUUAAGCGUUUUCAAAUACUAUAAAAAAGAGACUAUAAUAAGUGACUAGUGGACCAGUCAGCUGUUUUAAUUAAAACUGGGCUGCUUAUUGAUCUAUCGCACAGAUUUACCCCCCAUCUGCAACAUUCCAGCAAUAUUCCGUUCAACUAUUUCAGAAAAUAGUGCUUGUAAGAGACUCUAAAGAAUAUGGAAGUUGAGCAUGGAAAUGUUUUAUAACUAUGCGACAUUCUGUAAAAGAUCUUUUUAUUUCUUUUUAUAAGUAACAUGGUAAAAUUAAAAUUGCGUCACUGCAAAUUUGGCACAAUUGGUUUUAAAGCCAGAAAUGUGUCUUUAAAUCGUGGCAUCAGCUGCAGCAGAACAUCUGCACUGGAAGAAACCGGUGUGGUGCUCAGGUGGUUCAAGAGAAACAGAGGCACAGACCGAGCAGGGCACAAACUGGAGGAGGUGAGCAUGAUACCUGCCUGUUUAAUUAAAGUUUAGGAGAGCUUUGCUGUGUUUACAGAAGUUGGCGGCAUGUGUGAUGUCUUCUCUUCCAGGUGGUGCCUGGUGAGUACCCGCCCUCAGUGUUGGCAGUGGGAUGAAGCAACCUAUGAUUAUUAUUCAGUAGCUGUUAUUUGAAGAAAGAAAUAUUAAAAAAAAAAAAAAAAAAAAAAAAA